CUACGGAGGGUGCAAGCGUUAUCCGGAUUCAUUGGGUUUAAAGGGUGCGCAGGCGGAUUAUUAAGUCAGUGGUGAAAUCCUACAGCUUAACUGUAGAACUGCCAUUGAUACUGGUAAUCUUGAGUACGGUUGAAGUGGGCGGAAUGUAGCAUGUAGCGGUGAAAUGCAUAGAGAUGCUACAGAACACCGAUAGCGAAGGCAGCUCACUAAGCCGGCACUGACGCUGAGGCACGAAAGCGUGGGGAGCGAACAGGAUUAGAUACCCUAGUAGUCC
Molecule: ribosomal RNA, 274 nt
Filed under: uncultured bacterium
Lineage: Bacteria
Description: partial 16S ribosomal RNA
Rfam family: Bacterial small subunit ribosomal RNA
Source: RNAcentral